UCCGGCUUAUCACCGGCAGUUUCUUUAGAGUGCCCAACUAAAUGAUGGCAACUAAAGACGAGGGUUGCGCUCGUUGCGGGACUUAACCCAACAUCUCACGACACGAGCUGACGACAGCCAUGCACCACCUGUGCACUGGCCCCGAAGGGCUGCCGGAUUUCCCCGACAUUCCAGUGCAUGUCAAGGCCAGGUAAGGUUCUUCGCGUUGCAUCGAAUUAAGCCACAUACUCCACCGCUUGUGCAGGCCCCCGUCAAUUUCUUUGAGUUUUAAUCUUGCGACCGUACUCCCCAGGCGGCGCAUUUAUCGCGUUAGCUUCGCCACAGAAGGGGUUGAUUCCUCCUACAGCAAAUGCGCACCGUUUAGGGCCGGGACUAC
Molecule: unclassified non-coding RNA, 376 nt
Filed under: uncultured bacterium
Lineage: Bacteria
Description: contains 16S-23S intergenic spacer region
Source: RNAcentral